RNAcentral lists this ribosomal RNA (498 nucleotides) under uncultured bacterium. Its description in RNAcentral is "partial 16S ribosomal RNA". It matches the Rfam family "Bacterial small subunit ribosomal RNA", at positions 899 to 1397 of the family's 1533-position model. The record is from RNAcentral.
ACUCAAAGGAAUAGACGGGGGCCCGCACAAGCGGAGGAACAUGUGGUUUAAUUCGAUGAUACGCGAGGAACCUUACCCGGGCUCGAACGUGAGUGGAAUAUGGUGGAAACAUCAUAGCCAGCAAUGGCCGCUUACGAGGUGCUGCAUGGUUGUCGUCAGCUCGUGCCGUGAGGUGUCGGCUUAAGUGCCAUAACGAGCGCAACCCUUAUCGUUAGUUGCCAGCGGGUCAUGCCGGGGACUCUAACGAAACUGCCAGCGUAAGCUGUGAGGAAGGCGGGGAUGACGUCAAAUCAGCACGGCCCUUACGUCCGGGGCUACACACGUGUUACAAUGGAUGGUACAGAGGGCAGCUACUUCGCGAGAAGAUGCGAAUCUCUAAAGCCAUUCACAGUUCGGAUUGGAGUCUGCAACUCGACUCCAUGAAGCUGGAUUCGCUAGUAAUCGCAUAUCAGCCACGAUGCGGUGAAUACGUUCCCGGGCCUUGUACACACCGCCCGU